CAUGCAGAAGCCCAGCAGUCCCGCUCCCGGCGCCGCCUCCCCCGCGGUGCUGCCCAGACAGAGCGCGGCAAGCACCCAGCCCAGCCAACCCGCCACAGCCGCCGCCGCCGCCGCCGCCGCCGCCAUGGCCUGCUACCCCUUCUGGGCCUCAAGCGCAGCCUACCCCGCUCACCCGCGCCUCUGCCGUUGACGCCAAUCAGCGCAGGCCUUCGCGUCACUUCGACCAAUAGGCGGCCGGCGGGGGCGGGCUCCGGGGAGAACUAGGCUGCGCCGGGGAGUAAACAAGCGGCGCGGGGCGGGCCGGGGGGCGUGGGGCUCGGCCGGCAACGGAGGGUUCCAAGCCGAGCUCUGGGACGACCUAAAGGGUCUCAACUCUUGCGUUGGAGGAAAGGAAGAUUGUUAAGCCCCCUGGCCUACAAGGAUUAGAACUGAAUAAGAAGCAGGGAUUGGGCACAGGGAAGCCAGGAGUUCUUUGUUUAUAGGAUUUAUUAAUUAUGUGAAUGUGUGUGGGUUUUUGCAUGCGAGUGCUGUGCUCGAGGAGGCCACAAGAGGGCGUGGGGUCUUCCUGGAGCUGGAGUUACUACCGGUGUGAGGUGGUGCUGGGAACUGAACUGUCCUCAGUAUGCAUUCGUCACCUCUUGAGCCAGCUCUCCAGCCCUGUUGGAUUGUUUUUAAAACUAAGGUUUCUUGAGAGUGUUCUUGCUUCAACUCGGACUCUGUGGGCAUCAAUACACACACUUGGUUUUGAGGAAGUUGCCCUGCUAGGGAGACCCAUAGUAAAUACUCAAACCCUUAUAAAUCAGUUUCCUUGAAUCCUCAUGUAGUCAGUCUUACAAGGGAAAGCAAUGCUCACAGACUUUGGGCUCUGAUGUGCGACCUGACAUCCAGGUCGUCCAGCCAUCUGAGGAGGUAGCAGCUGUCAAGAAUUUUCAUAAUUGCUAGCUUCACAACCGCAGUUUAUCCUGAUUCCUCCGGUAGACGAUUCUUAGGUCCUCGUUGUAGAAGACAACUACAUCAAUCAGUGCUAUAUGCUCCAAGAAGUUUGCCUCCUGCGGGUGACAGAACAAGCUACCAGCAGAAGCAUUGAGACGUGGCUGUUCUUUUGCAUUGGAACCGUCCUGCUGUCUUUAAGGAAAAAAGCCCCAGAACUUUAGAGUGGAUUCAACCCCAGUUUUCACUGUGUCUCCAAGUCAAGAUAAAACGCUGACACCAAGACAGAACAGAUGGUGUGCAUGAAAUGAGUCACGGGUCUGAAGGAUCAGCUAGCAAGGAGCCAUCUACACGAGAGGAAGAACUCAAGUGGCUUUUCCCCCUCUCUACUUUUUUUUUUAAGUCUAAAAACCUUGAGUAAAAGAAGACCGAGUAAAAUCUGGAAAACAA
Molecule: long non-coding RNA, 1380 nt
Organism: Mesocricetus auratus (golden hamster)
Lineage: Eukaryota; Metazoa; Chordata; Mammalia; Rodentia; Cricetidae
Exons: 2
Source: RefSeq, a predicted model, not a curated record